Molecule: long non-coding RNA, 758 nt
Filed under: Sinocyclocheilus anshuiensis
Lineage: Eukaryota; Metazoa; Chordata; Actinopteri; Cypriniformes; Cyprinidae
Description: lncRNA (ENSSANG00000041431.1)
Source: RNAcentral
GUAAAUUGCUUUUCAAUGUAAAAUAUGAGAGAGAAUAAAGACAAAAUGUAAAAUAACCCAUCUAUGUUGUAUUCCUAAGUCAGGAUGAUGGCGGACAGAGUGUUAAAGCACUCAGAGGAGUGUAAAGAUCCUCCUCAGCUCUUUACAUACUAUCAAGGUGACAUCAACGCUGCAGUGGAUGAGCACUUCUUCCGUGCCCUGAAUAAAGCAACCACACCAAAAGACCUCAGUACUAAAGCCAAGGACAGCAAUAGGAUUCCCAAAUCUGAUGUUCCCUCAUCAUCAUGGGCUUCUUCUGGUCUAACAUGGUCUAAGUCCACACACUCUUCCGGCUCCUCAAAUCUGGCCCAGUUGAUAACCAUGAAACCUCCACCUCCAUCCCAGGGAGAUAUUGUGAAUCCUUCAGUACUGUCACCAUCAUCAUCAUCAUCCUCCUCCUCCUCGUCCCUCUGGCCAUGUCCACCCAGACAGGGCACAGCCUUCGAACUGCCUCAAAUACUCUACCAACAGCCCAUGGCUGCUGAGAGCAGUGCCAGCUCUUACCUGGACCUGUUACAAAUGGAUCGGCCAACAGGGGGCAUCAUGAUCUCGCCCUUCUCAAAAUCAGAAACCAGACCAGAGUGGAAUUCUGGGACGACCUUUAAGGAUGGAAGCAGGAUAGGCCUAGAUUCAGGUGUGCCUGUGUCAGAAAUCAGUAAGGAUUUGUACUGGUAUUGAAGAAGCGAUCUCUGGCUCUAUGACGAAAAUAUAUUUUCAGC